ACGCUCGACACCUACGGGAGGCAGCAGUGGGGAAUUUUCCGCAAUGGGCGAAAGCCUGACGGAGCAAUGCCGCGUGAAGGUAGAAGGCCUACGGGUCAUGAACUUCUUUUCCCGGAGAAGAAGCAAUGACGGUAUCCGGGGAAUAAGCAUCGGCUAACUCUGUGCCAGCAGCCGGGUAAUCUGAGCGGGCUGGCAAGGC
This 199-nucleotide ribosomal RNA is filed under the name uncultured bacterium. RNAcentral's name for it is "partial 16S ribosomal RNA". It matches the Rfam family "Bacterial small subunit ribosomal RNA", at positions 328 to 539 of the family's 1533-position model. The record is from RNAcentral.